GAUUCUGUUCACAUCUGUUGUGAUUCUGGAUCAAGGGCCAGAUCCAGGAUUCAACACAAAGAUAAGGUGAAAAGAGAAGAAGCAAAAAGCAGCAGGAAGAAUUAUUUAGGAUCCUUACUCCCAGGUUCGCCUCUUCCUGGGAUAAUCAUGACUGCCAUGGAUAUAGUCAGUACAAGACAGCAUACCAGUGUGAGGUGCUUCCUCAGACAGCCUGAGUUGAAAUUUUGCCAUUUCCAAGUACCAGCUGUGUGACCUUAGAAGGAGCAUUUGGACCUAACAGCUCUAACCAUCCAAAU
Molecule: long non-coding RNA, 296 nt
Filed under: Rhinopithecus bieti (black snub-nosed monkey)
Lineage: Eukaryota; Metazoa; Chordata; Mammalia; Primates; Cercopithecidae
Description: lncRNA (ENSRBIG00000045902.1)
Source: RNAcentral